Molecule: ribosomal RNA, 828 nt
Filed under: Myxobolus muelleri
Lineage: Eukaryota; Metazoa; Cnidaria; Myxozoa; Bivalvulida; Myxobolidae
Also listed under: 1 other name
Description: bacterial SSU rRNA
Rfam family: Eukaryotic small subunit ribosomal RNA
Source: RNAcentral
AAACCUAAAGUUUUUCGGUUGCGGGGGGAGUAUGGUCGCAAGGCUGAAACUUAAAGGAAUUGACGGAAGGGCACCACCAGGGGUGGAGCCUGCGGCUUAAUUUGACUCAACACGGGACAACUUACCUGGUCCGAACAUCCGAAGGAUACACAGACUGAUAGAUCUUUGUUGAUGGGGUGAUGAGUGGUGCAUGGCCGUUCUUAGUUCGUGGAGUGAUCUGUCAGGCCUAUCCCGGUAACGAACGAGACUACGAUCACCAGUUGACAAACCAGAGAAGGCAGUGGCUGUUAGGUGUUGGCAACAGUGCCUAGCUUAAGCUGUCGUAGGCAUUAUUGACGACCCAUUGCAGAACUUGCUUUCGGGUGGGUAAUGUAGUGGUAGUUGGUAAUCCCUUUGGUUGUGUAGUGUAUUGUUUGACAGUAUAUUGCAUCAUGGUGAGACAGCGGAAUAUAUUACAAAAUUCGAGGAAGUGUAGCUAUAACAGGUCCGUGAUGCCCUUAGAUGUUCAGGGCUGCACGCGCGCUACAAUGAUAUUAACAACGAGUUUCUGAAUCGAAAGAUUUGGGUAAUCUUGCAAUUAAUAUCGUGAUGGGGAUCGACGUUUGUAAAUACGUCGUGAAAGAGGAAUCCCUAGUACGUGCGAUUCAUUUAGAUCGCGCGGAUUGCGUCCCUGCCCUUUGUACACACCGCCCGUCGCUACUACCGAGUGAAUCGUGUCAUGAUGCCUUGGGAGCGGACGUUGCCUGGGCCUCGUGCCUGGUGUAAUGCUGCAAUCAGCGUAAAAUGGCGCAAUUUCGAGGAAGUAAAAGUCGUAACAAGGUUUCCGUA